Molecule: long non-coding RNA, 1255 nt
Organism: Acromyrmex echinatior (Panamanian leafcutter ant)
Lineage: Eukaryota; Metazoa; Arthropoda; Insecta; Hymenoptera; Formicidae
Gene: kon
Source: RefSeq, a predicted model, not a curated record
GGAGGGCCGAGGAGCGCCCGGUCGAAGCGCCGAGGUCCUCUCUCCACUCUCUUCGUCUCCUAUCUCCAACACGCAUAUCUCUUUUUAUCCGCCUCGUAUUCUCUCUCUUUCGCUCUCUCUCUCUCUCUUUCUCUCUGUCUGGACCAGACUGAAAACGACCGGCUCCCUCUAUCAUACGCACAUACACUCACAUACACAUACACCCACACAUUCUCACACACACACCCACACACACACAUACCUACACACACACACACACACACACACACACAUACUCUCUCAGUCCCCCCCCUUAUCUCUCUUUUAUCUCCUUCCGCGAGUCGCGAGUGAAAACGAGCCGGGCAGCGCCGCACCGACCUUCACCAUUUUGGUACACGCAGCACGCUACGUACGGCUGUAAAGCUGUAUGUCCUCGCCGAUCCUCGUCUGACGAAGAGAAUCCGCGAGAGGAACUCGCCGAAUUUGAUCGGAAUGCGCGUGGGGCGACCGGUCCGCUGCGUGGAUUCCGUGACAAAACGACGACGACGACGCCGGUUUGGGGGUUGCUAGCCUCCCUCAACUCCGCCUCUCAUUCCUGUCACUCUAUUCGUUUCUCGCUCGCUCUCUCCCUCUUUCUACUACGAAGGGUGGGUGGUGAUACGCCGGUGGCAGUGGCAGCAGUAGUGUGUGGAUGCUUGUACCGCCGCGUGCACGGGUUCACCUACGUGAGCCAUUACACGGGUCCUCGGCUUUCUCACCGACUGGGAGGCUAUAUGAGCGGUCACGGUCCACGGACGCAAAUUCUGGCCACCUUCGUCCACCUCCUUUUCUCCCAUCAUCCUUAUCUCCUCCAUGUACCUCCGGUGUGCUGACGCUCGAUGUGCUUACUCGAGGCUACGUUCUUCGCCCGCUUAUCUUGACCGAAAUUCGCGGUGUGUUCGAUCCCUAUCCGUGUCGGUACGGCCGAUCGUAGUAUGCAGUGUAUGCGCGUGCUUUGUUGAAAGGAUGCAACGUAUCGCUGCUGCGCUGCCCUUGUCUCAUACUGAUUGCUGAGGUUCGAGCGAAUCGGCAUCGGCACGAGAGACCGAAGGGAAUACGUGCAACGAGAUGCCAGCCUUCGCACCGUUCGCAUCGCAUUCUGGGAGAUACGUUAUCCCGCGAGAACGACGACUACGUUCGUGGGAGCACUCGGCGGUUUUACACUUUUCCACUAAAUCAGCCGUUAACGUCCCUGCGGAUGCACCGCGCACUCCGAUCUACGAUCGAUAAGCGAGCG